This 497-nucleotide ribosomal RNA is filed under the name uncultured bacterium. Its description in RNAcentral is "partial 16S ribosomal RNA". It matches the Rfam family "Bacterial small subunit ribosomal RNA", at positions 28 to 507 of the family's 1533-position model. The record is from RNAcentral.
GAUGAACGCUGGCGGCGUGCCUAAUAAAUGCAAUUCGAGCGAACGGACGAGAAGUUUGUUCCUCUGAUGUUAGCGGCGGACGGGUGAGUAACACGUGGAUAACCUACCUAUAAGACUGGGAUAACUUCGGAAAACCGGAGCUAAUACCGGAAAAUAUUUUGAACCGCAUGGUUCAAAAGUGAAAGACGGUCUUGCUGUCACUUAUAGAUGGAUCCGCGCUGCAUUAGCUAGUUGGUAAGGUAACGGCUUACCAAGGCAACGAUGCAUAGCCGACCUGAGAGGGUGAUCGGCCACACUGGAACUGAGACACGGUCCAGACUCCUACGGGAGGCAGCAGUAGGGAAUCUUCCGCAAUGGGCGAAAGCCUGACGGAGCAACGCCGCGUGAGUGAUGAAGGUCUUCGGAUCGUAAAACUCUGUUAUUAGGGAAGAACAUAUGUGUAAGUAACUGUGCACAUCUUGACGGUACCUAAUCAGAAAGCCACGGCUAACUACGUG